This 264-nucleotide ribosomal RNA is filed under the name uncultured bacterium. Its description in RNAcentral is "partial 16S ribosomal RNA". It matches the Rfam family "Bacterial small subunit ribosomal RNA", at positions 794 to 1055 of the family's 1533-position model. The record is from RNAcentral.
GUCUAGCUGUAAACGAUGGGCACUUGGUGUAGCGGGUAUCGACCCCUGCUGUGCCGAAGCUAACGCAUUAAGUGCCCCGCCUGGGGAGUACGGUCGCAAAUGCUGAAACUCAAAGGAAUUUACGGGGGCCCCGCACAAGCGGUGGAGCAUGUGGUUCAAUUCGACGCAACGCGAAGAACCUUACCGAGGCUUGAACUGUCGGUGACAGCCCUGGAAACAGGGUUUUCCUUCGGGACGCCGGUAGAGGUGCUGCAUGGCUGUCGU